UACGUAGGGUGCGAGCGUUGUCCGGAAUUAUUGGGCGUAAAGAGCUCGUAGGCGGUUUGUCGCGUCUGCUGUGAAACGCGAGGCUCAACCUCGCGCCUGCAGUGGGUACGGGCAGACGUGGAGUGCGGUAGGGGAGAUUGGAAUUCCUGGUGUAGCGGUGGAAUGCGCAGAUAUCAGGAGGAACACCGAGUGGCGAAGGCAGA
This 203-nucleotide ribosomal RNA is filed under the name uncultured bacterium. RNAcentral describes it as "partial 16S ribosomal RNA". It matches the Rfam family "Bacterial small subunit ribosomal RNA", at positions 524 to 725 of the family's 1533-position model. The record is from RNAcentral.